GGCCCCUAUGGUCCAGCGGUUACGACCUCUCUUUUUCACGGAGAAAACGAGGGUUCAAGUCCCUCUGGGGGUAUACUAAGACUCAAGACGAUAGGAGUGGGAUUUUCUAUCAAGUGAUCUAUGUUUGUCAAGUCCUUCUAAUAGUCUACUCAGUGGGACUUUGUAUUUUAGAUCAAGUGAUAUGUAUUUAUCAAAUCUGCCUAGGGACAAAUAUUGUGGAAUGUCUAAAAUAAAUUAGGCGUUGGGUCGAUGCCCGAGUGGUUAAUGGGGACGGACUGUAAAUUCGUUGACAAUAUGUCUACGCUGGUUCAAAUCCAGCUCGGCCCAAC
Molecule: transfer RNA, 329 nt
Filed under: Helianthus annuus (common sunflower)
Lineage: Eukaryota; Viridiplantae; Streptophyta; Magnoliopsida; Asterales; Asteraceae
Description: hypothetical non coding rna
Rfam family: tRNA (bases 2-73)
Source: RNAcentral